CUUCCGUAGGUGAACCUGCGGAAGGAUCAUUACUGAGUGCGGGCUGCCUCCGGGCGCCCAACCUCCCACCCGUGAAUACCUAACACUGUUGCUUCGGCGGGGAACCCCCUCGGGGGCGAGCCGCCGGGGACUACUGAACUUCAUGCCUGAGAGUGAUGCAGUCUGAGUCUGAAUAUAAAAUCAGUCAAAACUUUCAACAAUGGAUCUCUUGGUUCCGGCAUCGAUGAAGAACGCAGCGAACUGCGAUAAGUAAUGUGAAUUGCAGAAUUCAGUGAAUCAUCGAGUCUUUGAACGCACAUUGCGCCCCCUGGCAUUCCGGGGGGCAUGCCUGUCCGAGCGUCAUUGCUGCCCAUCAAGCCCGGCUUGUGUGUUGGGUCGUCGUCCCCCCCGGGGGACGGGCCCGAAAGGCAGCGGCGGCACCGUGUCCGGUCCUCGAGCGUAUGGGGCUUUGUCACCCGCUCGACUAGGGCCGGCCGGGCGCCAGCCGACGUCUCCAACCAUUUUUCUUCAGGUUGACCUCGGAUCAGGUAGGGAUACCCGCUGAACUUAAGCAUAUCAAUAAGCGGAGGA
Molecule: unclassified non-coding RNA, 570 nt
Filed under: Aspergillus versicolor
Lineage: Eukaryota; Fungi; Ascomycota; Eurotiomycetes; Eurotiales; Aspergillaceae
Description: partial contains ITS1, 5.8S rRNA and ITS2
Rfam family: 5.8S ribosomal RNA (bases 189-342)
Source: RNAcentral